GAUGAACGCUGGCGGCGUGCCUAAUACAUGCAAGUCGAGCGAAUGGAUUAAGAGCUUGCUCUUAUGAAGUUAGCGGCGGACGGGUGAGUAACACGUGGGUAACCUGCCCAUAAGAUUGGGAUAACUCCGGGAAACCGGGGCUAAUACCGGAUAACAUUUUGAACCGCAUGGUUCGAAAUUGAAAGGCGGCUUCGGCUGUCACUUAUGGAUGGACCCGCGUCGCAUUAGCUAGUUGGUGAGGUAACGGCUCACCAAGGCAACGAUGCGUAGCCGACCUGGGAGGGUGAUCGGCCACACUGGGACUGAGCCACGGCCCAGACUCCUACGGGAGGCAGCAGUAGGGAAUCUUCCGCAAUGGACGAAAGUCUGACGGAGCAACGCCGCGUGAGUGAUGAAGGCUUUCGGGUCGUAAAACUCUGUUGUUAGGGAAGAACAAGUGCUAGUUGAAUAAGCUGGCACCUUGACGGUACCUAACCAGAAAGCCACGGCUAACUACGUGCCAGCCGCCGCCGUAA
RNAcentral lists this ribosomal RNA (515 nucleotides) under uncultured bacterium. RNAcentral describes it as "partial 16S ribosomal RNA". It matches the Rfam family "Bacterial small subunit ribosomal RNA", at positions 28 to 523 of the family's 1533-position model. The record is from RNAcentral.